UCUGGUAGAGAUACUGGAGUGCUAGCUUGCUAGAACUUGUAAACAAGGUGCUGCACGGCUGUCGUCAGCUCGUGUCGUGAGAUGUGGUUAAGUCCCGCAACGAGCGCAACCUCGUCGUUAGUUGCUAACAGUUAGGCUGAGAACUCUAACGAGACUGCCUUCGUAAGGAGGAGGAAGGUGAGGACGACGUCAAGUCAUCAUGGCCCUUACGGCCAGGGCUACACACGUGCUACAAUGGGGUGUACAGAAAGCUGCAAUAUCGCGAGAUGGAGCAAAUCUCAAAAACACCUCCCAGUUCGGAUUGUUCUCUGCAACUCGAGAACAUGAAGUUGGAAUCGCUAGUAAUCGUAGAUCAGCAUUGCUACGGUGAAUACGUUCCCGGGUCUU
Molecule: ribosomal RNA, 387 nt
Filed under: uncultured Arcobacter sp.
Lineage: Bacteria; Pseudomonadati; Campylobacterota; Epsilonproteobacteria; Campylobacterales; Arcobacteraceae
Description: bacterial SSU rRNA
Rfam family: Bacterial small subunit ribosomal RNA
Source: RNAcentral